RNAcentral lists this ribosomal RNA (384 nucleotides) under uncultured bacterium. RNAcentral describes it as "bacterial SSU rRNA". It matches the Rfam family "Bacterial small subunit ribosomal RNA", at positions 30 to 416 of the family's 1533-position model. The record is from RNAcentral.
AUUGAACGCUGGCGGCAUGCCUUACACAUGCAAGUCGAACGGCAGCGGACCUUCGGGUGCCGGCGAGUGGCGAACGGGUGAGUAAUAUAUCGGAACGUACCUUUCAGUGGGGGAUAACGUAGCGAAAGUUACGCUAAUACCGCAUAUUCUGUGAGCAGGAAAGCAGGGGAUCGCAAGACCUUGCGCUGAUUGAGCGGCCGAUAUCAGAUUAGCUAGUUGGUGAGGUAAAGGCUCACCAAGGCGACGAUCUGUAGCGGGUCUGAGAGGAUGAUCCGCCGCACUGGAACUGAGACACGGUCCAGACUCCUACGGGAGGCAGCAGUGGGGAAUUUUGGACAAUGGGCGCAAGCCUGAUCCAGCCAUGCCGCGUGAGUGAAGAAGGCC